This is a non-coding RNA of Canis lupus familiaris (dog), 73 nucleotides long. The record is from Rfam. Lineage: Eukaryota; Metazoa; Chordata; Mammalia; Carnivora; Canidae.
ACCUGGCUGGCUCAGUCGGUAGAGCAUGUGACUCUUGAUCCUGGGGUUGAGAGUUCAAGCCUCACAUUGGGUG